GAUGAACGCUGGCGGCGUGCCUAAUACAUGCAAGUCGAGCGAACAGACGAGGAGCUUGCUCCUCUGACGUUAGCGGCGGACGGGUGAGUAACACGUGGAUAACCUACCUAUAAGACUGGGAUAACUUCGGGAAACCGGAGCUAAUACCGGAUAAUAUAUUGAACCGCAUGGUUCAAUAGUGAAAGACGGUUUUGCUGUCACUUAUAGAUGGAUCCGCGCCGCUUUAGCUAGUUGGUAAGGUAACGGCUUACCAAGGCAACGAUGCGUAGCCGACCUGAGAGGGUGAUCGGCCACGCUGGAACUGAGACACGGUCCAGACUCCUACGGGAGGCAGCAGUAGGGAAUCUUACGCAAUGGGCGAAAGCCUGACGGAGCAACGCCGCGUGAGUGAUGAAGGUCUUCGGAUCGUAAAACUCUGUUAUUAGGGAAAAACAAAUGUGUAAGUAACUAUGCACGUCUUGACGGUACCUAAUCAGAAAGCCCCGGCUAACUACGUG
Molecule: ribosomal RNA, 497 nt
Filed under: uncultured bacterium
Lineage: Bacteria
Description: partial 16S ribosomal RNA
Rfam family: Bacterial small subunit ribosomal RNA
Source: RNAcentral